This is a long non-coding RNA of Triticum aestivum (bread wheat), 1971 nucleotides long. RefSeq lists it as uncharacterized. The record is from RefSeq and is a predicted model, not a curated record. NCBI's taxonomy places the organism in Eukaryota, Viridiplantae, Streptophyta, Magnoliopsida, Poales, Poaceae. The transcript is spliced from 3 exons.
CGUAUGCUGCUGCCUCUGCAAUUGAUGGUAUGUGCUUUCUUUUGCUUGGUAUAAUUUUGGUGUGUGUGUUUUCUGGCGCUAGAUCAUGGGUUCGGCGACGGCGGCCGGAAGCCAGGAGGGCUGGCCAAGGAAGAGGGUGAGGACGUGGGGAUUGAAGAGGGUUCCUAUGCAUAUUGUUCAUUGCAAUGGUAAAGCAUCGUCAGCACUGUAUUGAUGCCAUCGUCAAGUCAUGUAGACUAAUUGCAGAACAAAGCUAUAGUUUUGUUGGGACUAAAAGUGAAAACGAUAAUUGGGACCAAAACUAUGCAUUUCUAGGAAAUAAUAAAUAAGCAAAAGGAUUAUCCACGGGAUGGAGCAGAGGCCGGCGUGGGGCGCAAGGAGCAGCAGUGGCAGAAUGGUGCUCGCUUGCCGGGCGUUGGCCCUCGGAUGAAUUCGACGCCUGAGUCGAGCUGACGAGCCCCAUGGUUUGCUAUCAAUCUCUCGAAAAGGAAAAACAACAUUACUUUGUUCUUGGGAGAAACUUCCUGUAGAGUCGCUACCUUGACAGAGAUAAAUAUGCGAUCAAGGAUAUAUUCAGUGGUUUUUCAGGAAAAAACUUGGAGGAUAUUUUUUGCAGGUUCAUCGCUUGCUUUUUUGCUUUAUCAUGGCGUAUUCGUCCCUUCUUAUCCAAGAAAGGGCUUCUUCAUGUUUGCAGAUAGUUUGGUGCUCUCAUGGUUAUUUUGUCGAGAUUGUCCUUCUGUUCAUUAUUUGGGAACCAUCUCCUGCAGCUCAGCUACUGUCCAGCUGCUGCGCCCUUAUCGUGAUUGAUUAAUGGUGUAUGUUUUCCUAUUAGUUUCUCUGUAUGCUAAUGUCUGAAUUAUAUCUUGACGUUUUACAUUUCUCCAGGCCUUGGAUUCCCUGAGAUGCGCUAUUCGUAGGCAUGCACUUUCUAAUAAAAUUAUGGCAAUCAAUUUGAACAAGUAAUUUAUCUAGCUACAACAACGUAUUGUUUAUGUUCCUUGCUUUCACAAAUAGUAGUUUAUAGUCUAUAUCUGCCAAAUAUUUACACAUUAGUUUAGCCACAAAGUAAGAUGCCAUACUUUAGUGAUGGGUUUGUUAUUCUGCUAUCGUUUCAUGUUGGUUAGCCAUGAUAAAUCUAAUUUCUAGAGUGGUAGAUGAUUCAUGUCAGGUUUCUUUUAGAGAUCGAAAUAUGGUUUGACUCUGAAAUAAGUAGUACGACGUCCAGUUCGGCAUAGGUAGUAGAAAGCAUACUAAUCCCAUUUACAUACUAUGCAAAACUGAAUGACCUUCUAAAGCUCUGAAACUACUAUUUGUUGUGUAAUAUGUAUCCCCUUUUCAUACUUUGUUUCUACUUAGUAGGCAAAAGUACAUGAGAACGAUGGCCUACAGGAUGUGAAUUGCACUAAAAUAUAUGCAGGUUUUGUGCCAGACUAACUGUCACUACUGUGUUUCAGGUGCUUCUUCUGUAACUUCGUAUAUUUUGCUGGCUCUUCUCAUUUCCCUGCAAACCACUUAGUCUGUACAGUUUGUUGUCUUCUACUCCCUCCGUAAAGAAAUAUAAGAGCGUUCAGAUCACUACUUUAGUGAUCUAAGCUCUCUUAUAUUUCUUUACAGAGGGAGUACUGUCUUUAGAGGUUUUGUCCAAACUACUAGCUGUCUGACUUGCCUUUUGAAACAAAGUGUUCCUAGGAUUGCCUUUUUACAUAUGGUUAAGCUCAAUAUGGCUACCUAUGUACACAUAUGAAGGUUCUGUUUGGACUACUCAAAUCGUGUGGAGAAAUUUCCAAUUUGUUGCCUUGCUAUGGUGUGCCGUCGCCAUGUUUUUUUAGGAAAAUGGAACGUGCAAGCUUCGUCCUUAAUUAGUCAAAUACUUGCUUUGCGUUAAAGACAGUCCCCAUCUAUGUCCCGGGUUUUCUUUUGUAUGAAUUUCAUAUUCACUGGAAUAUGAGAAUACACUGUCAUGAUGGACAA